UCAGAGAUUCUCAUUUUGGUCUACUGGGA
RNAcentral lists this non-coding RNA (29 nucleotides) under Mus musculus (house mouse). The record is from RNAcentral. Lineage: Eukaryota; Metazoa; Chordata; Mammalia; Rodentia; Muridae.